GGAGAAAUGGCAGAGCGGUCGAAUGCACCGGUCUUGAAAACCGGCGUACCGAGAGGUACCGGGGGUUCGAAUCCCUCUUUCUCCGCAA
Molecule: transfer RNA, 88 nt
Filed under: Flavobacteriales bacterium
Lineage: Bacteria; Pseudomonadati; Bacteroidota; Flavobacteriia; Flavobacteriales
Description: tRNA-Ser
Rfam family: tRNA
About the family: Transfer RNA (tRNA) molecules are approximately 80 nucleotides in length. Their secondary structure includes four short double-helical elements and three loops (D, anti-codon, and T loops).
Source: RNAcentral